GACGAACCGAGCGAACGUUGUUCGGAAUCACUGGGCUUAAAGGGCGCGUAGGCGGGUGCUCAAGUCUGUGGUGAAAUCCUCCAGCUUAACUGGAGAACUGCCAUGGAUACUGGGUGUCUCGAGGAAGAUAGGGGUAUGCGGAACGAUUGGUGGAGCGGUGAAAUGCGUUGAUAUCAAUCGGAACUCCGGUGGCGAAGGCGGCAUACUGGACCGGCAUUGACGCUGAGGCGCGAAAGCUAGGGGAGCAAACGGG
RNAcentral lists this ribosomal RNA (253 nucleotides) under uncultured bacterium. RNAcentral's name for it is "partial 16S ribosomal RNA". It matches the Rfam family "Bacterial small subunit ribosomal RNA", at positions 524 to 776 of the family's 1533-position model. The record is from RNAcentral.